Anguilla rostrata (American eel) is the source of this 1009-nucleotide long non-coding RNA. RefSeq lists it as uncharacterized. NCBI's taxonomy places the organism in Eukaryota, Metazoa, Chordata, Actinopteri, Anguilliformes, Anguillidae. The transcript is spliced from 2 exons. The record is from RefSeq and is a predicted model, not a curated record.
UGUGAGCAAUGUUCCCUCUAAGCUGCGCGCGUGCGCAAUCGCGCACUGCCCGCACAUUCUCAGCGCACAAGAAAAUCUAUCCAGCGCAUAAACAACAUCAACAUAACGUAUUAAUUCAUAUCUAAUAUUAGACCUAAUCUAAUCUAAUUAAUUCGCCCAAUAAUAUUGUUUUUUUGUUUCUCACUCAGUGAGUGACAGGUGUCCAGCCAAUGAUACGAUACGGUUCACUUACGGUACGAAGCCAAUCAUGGCAUUGACGGUGCUUGCGUCUGGGCCCUGCCUAUAUGCGCCGUGCAGGUUAGCUAGCAGGUUAAUAGAUGCUAAUACAAACCCCGCAUCAUGGCGAAACGAACAGGCAACGACACAUCCACUCAGCAAGCCACAGUAAAAAAGAAAUGCAGUUCUUUUAAGAUGGAAUGGCUGUCGGAGUAUGUGCAAAUUGAAGAAAAAGCGGUGAAAUUGGGUGAGAUUUUUUCUUUUUCAAGUGAGAAAGGUCUACUCUGCAAAACAUGCAGCGAUGCCAAAGUAGCAAGUGAGUUUUCAGAGGGAAAAAUGUGGACUGAAUGGAAGCUGGACUAUCUCAAGCGUCACGUUCAGCAUAAAAGUCAUUUAAAAGCUGUCGAAACUGUACGAAGACUCAAGAUGGGACAGGGGAUUGGUACAUUAUUGCGGGAGAGCGCAAAAGAGCGAGAGAAAAGGAACGAGCUGUCACACAAAACAAAAUCGGACCCUGAACAAGUUAAAGACCAGCUGAUGCGCAUAAAGUCAAAGCAAGAAGCAGACGAAGCCAUCAACCUGGACAAAGUGUACAACCAUUGGAGAAGUGAGAAGGACAGACGUGAAAAAUAAGAACAGGACCCUCAGCCAGGCAAAGCAGGACUCUUCCCAUGGCCAAAGCAGGACUCUCACAUACUGUAUAACAUCUACACAUCCCAUUUUUCAGAUUUUUGUCUUUUUUUAAGUGGACCAAAUUACUUAUUUAAAAAUAAAGCGUGCAUAUCUAAUGUUG